This 496-nucleotide ribosomal RNA is filed under the name uncultured bacterium. RNAcentral describes it as "partial 16S ribosomal RNA". It matches the Rfam family "Bacterial small subunit ribosomal RNA", at positions 29 to 507 of the family's 1533-position model. The record is from RNAcentral.
AUGAACGCUGGCGGCGUGCCUCAUACAUGCAAGUCGAGCGAACAGACGAGGAGCUUGCUCCUCUGACGUUAGCGGCGGACGGGUGAGUAACACGUGGAUAACCUACCUAUAAGACUGGGAUAACUUCGGGAAACCGGAGCUAAUACCGGAUAAUAUAUUGAACCGCAUGGUUCAAUAGUGAAAGACGGUUUUGCUGUCACUUAUAGAUGGAUCCGCGCCGCAUUAGCUAGUUGGUAAGGUAACGGCUUACCAAGGCGACGAUGCGUAGCCGACCUGAGAGGGUGAUCGGCCACACUGGAACUGAGACACGGUCCAGACUCCUACGGGAGGCAGCAGUAGGGAAUCUUCCGCCAUGGGCGAAAGCCUGACGGAGCAACGCCGCGUGAGUGAUGAAGGUCUUCGGAUCGUAAAACUCCGUUAUUAGGGAAGAACAAAUGUGUAAGUAACUAUGCACGUCUUGACGGUACCUAAUCAGAAAGCCACGGCUAACUACGUG